RNAcentral lists this ribosomal RNA (253 nucleotides) under uncultured bacterium. RNAcentral's name for it is "partial 16S ribosomal RNA". It matches the Rfam family "Bacterial small subunit ribosomal RNA", at positions 524 to 776 of the family's 1533-position model. The record is from RNAcentral.
UACGGGGGGUGCAAGCGUUGUUCGGAAUUACUGGGCUUAAAGGGCUCGUAGGUGGCCAACUAAGUCAGACGUGAAAUCCCUCGGCUUAACCGGGGAACUGCGUCUGAUACUGGACGGCUUGAGUUUGGGAGAGGGACGCGGAAUUCCAGGUGUAGCGGUGAAAUGCGUAGAUAUCUGGAGGAACACCGGUGGCGAAGGCGGCGUACUGGACCAACACUGACACUGAGGAGCGAAAGCCAGGGGAGCAAACGGG